AUGUUUCCCCAUUAUGUUUCCUACAAUCUAAUUAGAAGACAAAUCAACCAGAACAAGGAAACAAUGAGCCAAAAUUUGGCUCCAUCAGUAAGCUGGAGUGAUAUAAUCCUUGCCUUAUUAGUAUCAAUUCUUUUAAUAGGCUCUGGAACAGCCAAAUCAAUUCUCCAGUCCAGUUUAUCAGAGGGCUGCACAAAAUUCUGUGUUGGUCUCUUGGAGUGGCUACACAACAUUGAGAAUUAAUGGCUUUGGGCAGCUGAAGCAGUGCUGGUGAAAAAAUUAGAAGAUGCAGCCUAAAGCAGCAUUUCACAUAUUUAUGGGGAAACUGUCAGAAAUCACAGAAAUACUUGAAUUUUAAAUAAUAGGUAAAGAAAAUCAGUCGAGGAAAGAUAAAGGCCCUUGAAUGGGAAGGAAAUUCAUUUAUGCUUGGGACUGUAGAAAAGUCAGAGCCAAACAAUGAAGGAAAGGGAAAUAUAAAGUCCUCUUUUCAAAACAUAGAAUAUUCCACUUUCUGAGAACUGAAGGAAAUAUUAUACUACAAAUAAUUCUGUAAAAAAAAAAUCCCUUCGAGAACUGAACUAUAUAAACAGCUAGCAUGUCUAUGGAGUUGUUAGUUACUAUUCUAGAGAAAAGGCUGUACAUACAUCUUCCAAAAUUAAAUCUUAUCUAUCUUCCCAUCCUAAUGAGCUUUUUUUUGGGUGGGCCUGCCAUAAAGCUGGAAGAUUUACAUGCUAAAAAUCCCUUUGGCCUGAAGAGUUUCCACCCAUUGUAGAGCCAGUCUAGGCAACUCUUCCCUUGCUCUGCAGCCUACAGGGCAUCAAGGGUGUAGCUGGAAAGAAAGUGGGUUUGCUUGUAUUACUUUCUCAUAUUAUUCCCAAACUGGUCUAUCACACUCUUGAGGCUCAUGUGAGUUUUCCUCAGUAUAUUCUGCUUAGACAGAAUAGUUUCUGUUCUUCACUUACACUCAGUGCCUCAGCUGUCCCCAGGAGAAAUUAGAUGCAGCCCUGAAUCUAGGCCAGAAAGUGUGCACAAAAUCUAACAAAGCUAAUGAAAGUUAACUUGCACAUGUCUGAGAACAGCAAUUGUUCCUACCAUUUAGAGGCCAUAUCCUGCUAUUGUUCCAUAUAUCAAACUCCUAUUGAAGUUUAUUCUAAAAAAUCUUGUACAAAAAAUCAUCUCCGGAUGUGAUAACAGCCAGCAGACAAAAGGUCCUCACAUGUUUUUUUACUGGAAUUCUGGUCCU
This 1240-nucleotide long non-coding RNA is filed under the name Junco hyemalis (dark-eyed junco). RNAcentral's name for it is "lncRNA (ENSJHYG00000012908.1)". Lineage: Eukaryota; Metazoa; Chordata; Aves; Passeriformes; Passerellidae. The record is from RNAcentral.